AGGCCUCUGGAACUGGGAGACAUGAAUGU
RNAcentral lists this non-coding RNA (29 nucleotides) under Homo sapiens (human). Lineage: Eukaryota; Metazoa; Chordata; Mammalia; Primates; Hominidae. The record is from RNAcentral.